ACGUCCUACGGGAGGGCAAGCAUGUGGGGAAUGAUUGCAACCAAUGGGCGCAAGCCUGAUGCCAGCCCAUGCCGCGUGAUGUAGGCAAGAAUGGGCCUUUCGGGUUGAUAAAGCACUUUUCAGUCGUGAGGAAGGUAGUGUAGUUAAUAGCUGCAUUAUUUGACGUUAGCGACAGAAGAAGCACCGGCUAACUCCGUGCCAGCAGCCGCGGUAAUACGGAGGGUGCGAGCGUUAAUCGGAAUUACUGGGCGUAAAGCGCAUGCAGGUGGUUUGUUAAGUCAGAUGUGAAAGCCCGGGGCUCAACCUCGGAAUUGCAUUUGAAACUGGCAGACUAGAGUACUGUAGAGGGGGGUAGAAUUUCAGGUGUAGCGGUGAAAUGCGUAGAGAUCUGAAGGAAUACCGGUGGCGAAGGCGGCCCCCUGGACAGAUACUGACACUCAGAUGCGAAAGCGUGGGGAGCAAACAGGAUUAGAUACCCUGGUAGCGAGUAG
This 491-nucleotide ribosomal RNA is filed under the name uncultured bacterium. RNAcentral describes it as "bacterial SSU rRNA". It matches the Rfam family "Bacterial small subunit ribosomal RNA", at positions 335 to 802 of the family's 1533-position model. The record is from RNAcentral.